Molecule: ribosomal RNA, 484 nt
Filed under: uncultured bacterium
Lineage: Bacteria
Description: partial 16S ribosomal RNA
Rfam family: Bacterial small subunit ribosomal RNA
Source: RNAcentral
AUUGAACGCUGGCGGCAGGCCUAACACAGGCAAGUCGAGCGGAUGAAGGGAGCUGGCUCCUGGAUUCAGCGGCGGACGGGUGAGUAAUGCCUAGGAAUCUGCCUGGUAGUGGGGGAUAACGUCCGGAAACGGGCGCUAAUACCGCAUACGGCCUGAGGGAGAAAGUGGGGGACACUCGGACCUCACGCCUUCAGAUUUGCAUUGGUCGGAUUAGCGAGUUGGUGGGGUAAAGGCCUACCAAGGCGACGUCACGCAACUGGUCUGAGAGGAUGAUCAGUCACACUGGAACUGAGACACGGUCCCAACUCCUCCGGGCGGCAGCAGUGGGGAAUAUUGGACAAUGCGCGAACGCCUGAUCCAGACAUGCCGCGUGUGUGAAGAAGGUCUUCGGAUUGUAAAGCACUUUAAGUUGCGAGGAAGGGCAGUAAGUUAAUACCUUGCUGUUUUGACGUUCCCAACAGAAUAAGCACCGGCUAACUUCGUG